GCGGAAGUGGCGGAAUGGCAGACGCGCAUGAUUCAGGUUCAUGUGAGGUAACACUCGUGGAGGUUCGAGUCCUCUCUUCCGCACCA
Molecule: transfer RNA, 86 nt
Filed under: Myxococcales bacterium
Lineage: Bacteria; Pseudomonadati; Myxococcota; Myxococcia; Myxococcales
Also listed under: 2 other names
Description: tRNA-Leu
Rfam family: tRNA
About the family: Transfer RNA (tRNA) molecules are approximately 80 nucleotides in length.
Source: RNAcentral